AUACCUUUCUGGGCCUUUUGGCUAAGAUCAGGCGUAGAAUCUGUUCUUAUCAGUUUAAUAUUUGAUACGUGGGCCAAUGGUACACAAUGAUAUUAAAUUAAAUUUUCAAGAGUGAAGACCCACCACAAGUGCUUGCACUUGGGAUCUUCAAGCAAGGUCCAUGCCUUGCGCUACUGCAAGGGUCUGACACUCCUC
This is a small nuclear RNA of Amaranthus tricolor (Joseph's coat), 195 nucleotides long. RefSeq annotates it as U2 spliceosomal RNA. The record is from RefSeq and is a predicted model, not a curated record. Lineage: Eukaryota; Viridiplantae; Streptophyta; Magnoliopsida; Caryophyllales; Amaranthaceae. The transcript has a single exon.